RNAcentral lists this long non-coding RNA (267 nucleotides) under Gossypium barbadense (sea-island cotton). Its description in RNAcentral is "long non-coding RNA (GBAR_LNC009788)". The record is from RNAcentral. Lineage: Eukaryota; Viridiplantae; Streptophyta; Magnoliopsida; Malvales; Malvaceae.
AGAACCACUCCCGGUUAGGGGACAUAUGAUAGGUACAACCCGAAUCCAAUAUCCACUCAUCUGAAUGGAACGACGAUGAUGAUGCAACCAGUGAUAGUUCAGAGUCACUGGUAUCAUGCUUUGCAACACAAGCAUCUACAGCAGCUUUUCCCUUAUUCUUCAGCUUUGGACAAUUUUUCUUCCAAUGGCCUUUCUUAUGACAAAAAGCACAUUCAUCUUUCCCGAGUCUGGACUUUGACUUUGAUCUCCCCUUUUGAGUUUUCUUCC